AUGGAUUGAAACCCUAAGGUACUUUGUUGGAAUGUGCGGGGGCUUAAUAACCCGGCCAAAAGGAAUGCGGUGAGGGAGUUUGUGGGAGAGGCUAAGGUUAACAUUGUAGGUCUACAAGAGAUGAAGCUCGAUGUAAUUGACUCUUAUAUUGCUAUGCAAAGUUUGGGGCCAUCUUUUGAUGACUUCGCUUACGUGCCGGCGGUGGAGACCCGAGGGGGUAUUCUAUUG
This 228-nucleotide ribosomal RNA is filed under the name Triticum aestivum (bread wheat). Its description in RNAcentral is "partial small subunit ribosomal RNA". Lineage: Eukaryota; Viridiplantae; Streptophyta; Magnoliopsida; Poales; Poaceae. The record is from RNAcentral.